UAGUCAUAUGCUUGUCUCAAAGAUUAAGCCAUGCAAGUCUCUGUAUAAGCAAUUAUACUGUGAAACUGCGGAAAGCUCAUUAUAUCAGUUAUAGUUUAUUUGAUGGUACCCUUGCUACAUGGAUAACCGUAGUAAUUCUAGAGCUAAUACAUGCCCAGAAGCCGCGACUUCGGAAGCGGUGGACUUAUUAGAUCAAGAGCCAACCCUCCUCGGAGGACUAAGCUGAAUCAUAGUAAUUUUGCUAAUCGCAGUGGGUUUUCCCGGCGAUGGGUCAUUCAAAUUUCUGCCCUAUCAGCUGUGAUGUUAGUGUAGUGGACUAACAUGGCAUAAACGGGUAACGGAGGAUUAGGGUCUGAUUCCGGAGAGGGAGCCUGAGAAAUGGCUACCACUUCCAAGGAAGGCAGCAGGCGCGUAAAUUACCCAAUCCCGACACGGGGAGGUAGUGACAAGAAAUAACAAUACCGGAUCUUUUUAGAUCUGGUAAUUGGAAUGAGUACAACUUAAAAUCCUUAACAAGGACCAAUUG
Molecule: ribosomal RNA, 526 nt
Filed under: uncultured eukaryote
Lineage: Eukaryota
Description: bacterial SSU rRNA
Rfam family: Eukaryotic small subunit ribosomal RNA
Source: RNAcentral